UAGGCUUCUCAGCCUUUUGGCUAAGAUCAAAGUGUAGUAUUUGUUCUUAUUAGCUUAAUAUCUGAUUAUUAGCUUAAUAUCUAUUUGGGGCCAUUGAUAUUAAACUGGUUUUUAGAAUGAGGAGAAGUGUUAGGGGCUUGCUCCGCCUUUGCCACGGGUUGGCCUGGUAUUGCAGUGCUUCCAGGAUUCAGCCCAUCUUUA
Octopus sinensis (East Asian common octopus) is the source of this 201-nucleotide small nuclear RNA. RefSeq annotates it as U2 spliceosomal RNA. The record is from RefSeq and is a predicted model, not a curated record. The transcript has a single exon. Lineage: Eukaryota; Metazoa; Mollusca; Cephalopoda; Octopoda; Octopodidae.